GCUGACACAUUCCAGCUAAUCAGCAGCAGACCCUCCCUCCCAGGCCCUCCCACCUCCUGGACAGCAUCCAUUUUGAAGCUGCAUUCUUAGUGAGCUGUCCAGGAGGUGGGAGGGUCUGGGAGGGAGGGUCUGCUGCUGAUUGGCUGGAAUGUGUCAG
RNAcentral lists this microRNA precursor (157 nucleotides) under Pelobates cultripes (western spadefoot toad). The record is from RNAcentral. Lineage: Eukaryota; Metazoa; Chordata; Amphibia; Anura; Pelobatidae.